ACCUGACUGGCUCAGUCAGUAAAGCACGUGACUCUUGAUGUCAGGGUUGUGAGUUCAAGCCCCACGUUGGGUG
RNAcentral lists this transfer RNA (73 nucleotides) under Felis catus (domestic cat). It matches the Rfam family "tRNA". From Rfam's summary of the family: Transfer RNA (tRNA) molecules are approximately 80 nucleotides in length. Their secondary structure includes four short double-helical elements and three loops (D, anti-codon, and T loops). Lineage: Eukaryota; Metazoa; Chordata; Mammalia; Carnivora; Felidae. The record is from Rfam by way of RNAcentral.